GUUCUCGUAUUUUUGUUACUGUUAUCUCGAAAUAUUUCUAUGACUAUGGAUCGAAUUACUCUUAAAUCAAAAUCAUUGAUACCUGUUAUGGAAGAUGAACGUUUUCGAGUCUUUCCUGGCGAAGUGAAACUUCCCCAGGAAAGACUCGAAAACGUUCCUCCCAUUCCAGCAUGCCCCUGUAUAUCAGGAACCGCAUGCAGGGGAGUCUCAGGAAAGACUCGAAAACGUCCUCUCAUAUAGGGGUAUGCAGGAAAUACAUUUUCUGCAUACAAAAUGCAGAAAAUGCAUUUAAUGGAUUCUGCUAUAGAAGAAUCAUGACUGAUUCUUCUAUAGCACUUCUGCAUACAGAAGAAUCAGUCAUGUCAGAUGUUUCCGCGGAUAGUUGUGUAUGAUACUCGUGUAGCAAUUUCUGUCUCUUUCGAUGCAUCACGGUUAUUCAUUGAUGGCUCCUUUUUUCUAAUAUAGUUGUAAACAUUACAUACGGUCGUCCUGCAUUGACUUUUAAUAGGCUUUCCACGUUUCAACCAUAUCUCCGCCAUUAGCAUAGUAGAACAAGUGCAUCAUGAGUAAAAUCCAGACAAAAGCAUAUUGGUGAGAAGACUGCGCCUGUCAAAAAGAUCGGCCAACUUAUGUGGCGGUGACUAUAGUGAUUAAUUGCAUUUAUGUCGCGAGA
RNAcentral lists this long non-coding RNA (673 nucleotides) under Androctonus crassicauda. The record is from RNAcentral. Lineage: Eukaryota; Metazoa; Arthropoda; Arachnida; Scorpiones; Buthidae.